ACGGGAGGCAGCAGUGGGGAAUAUUGCACAAUGGGGGAAACCCUGAUGCAGCGACGCCGCGUGAGUGAAGAAGUACUUUGGUAUGUAAAGCUCUAUCAAUAGGGAAGAUAAUGACGGUACCUAACUAAGAAGCACCGGCUAAAUACGUGCCAGCAGCCGCGGUAAUACGUAUGGUGCAAGCGUUAUCCGGAUUUACUGGGUGUAAAGGGAGCGUAGGUGGUUUGGCAAGCCAGAAGUGAAAACCCGAGGCUUAACCUCGCGGAUUGCUUUUGGAACUGUUGGACUAGAGUGCAGGAGGGGUAAGCGGAAUUCCCAGUGUAGCGGUGAAAUGCUUAGAUAUUGGGAAGAACACCGGCGGCGAAGGCGGCUUACUGGACUGUAACUGACACUGAGGCUCGAAAGCGUGGGGAGCAAACAGGAUUAGAUACCCUGGUA
RNAcentral lists this ribosomal RNA (435 nucleotides) under uncultured Lachnospiraceae bacterium. RNAcentral describes it as "partial 16S ribosomal RNA". It matches the Rfam family "Bacterial small subunit ribosomal RNA", at positions 341 to 792 of the family's 1533-position model. Lineage: Bacteria; Bacillati; Bacillota; Clostridia; Lachnospirales; Lachnospiraceae. The record is from RNAcentral.